Molecule: small RNA, 398 nt
Filed under: Pan troglodytes (chimpanzee)
Lineage: Eukaryota; Metazoa; Chordata; Mammalia; Primates; Hominidae
Description: processed transcript
Source: RNAcentral
AAUCAGCCUGCUGAACUUUUACCUCAGUUUUCUAGCAUUGAAUAUGUAGUUCUGCGUGGUCCUCAGAUGCCUUUGAUAUUCCUCUAUGUGGUUGAUACUUGCAUGGAAGAUGAAGAUUUACAAGCCCUGAAAGAAUCCAUGCAGAUGUCAUUAAGUCUUUUACCACCUACAGCUUUGGUUGGACUUAUUACUUUUGGGAGAAUGGUUCAGGUUCAUGAACUUGGAUGUGAAGGCAUUUCAAAAAGCUAUGUCUUCAGAGGAACAAAAGAUUUGUCUGCCAAACAACUGCAGGUAAACAACAAGAAUGGUAGUUUUCACCUACCUGAAAGUUACUCUAUAUAUGUUUAUAAAUGCCUUCUGUAUGUUUCUAGGACAAAUUUUUAUUAUGAAUAACUAAU